Molecule: ribosomal RNA, 258 nt
Filed under: uncultured Pseudomonas sp.
Lineage: Bacteria; Pseudomonadati; Pseudomonadota; Gammaproteobacteria; Pseudomonadales; Pseudomonadaceae
Description: partial 16S ribosomal RNA
Rfam family: Bacterial small subunit ribosomal RNA
Source: RNAcentral
CGGCGGACGGGUGGAGUAAUGCCUAGGAAUCUGCCUGGUAGUGGGGGACGAACGUUUCGAAAGGAACGCUAAUACCGCAUACGUCCUACGGGAGAAAGCAGGGACCUUCGGGCCUUGCGCUAUCAGAUGAGCCUAGGUCGGAUUAGCUAGUUGGUGAGGUAAUGGCUCACCAAGGCGACGAUCCGUAACUGGUCUGAGAGGAUGAUCAGUCACACUGGAACUGAGACACGGUCCAGACUCCUACGGGAGGCAGCAGCC